This 203-nucleotide long non-coding RNA is filed under the name Lathyrus oleraceus (garden pea). Its description in RNAcentral is "Pisum sativum (pea) long non-coding RNA (PSAT_LNC012757)". The record is from RNAcentral. Lineage: Eukaryota; Viridiplantae; Streptophyta; Magnoliopsida; Fabales; Fabaceae.
CUGUUUGGAUUUUUCUUCAGAUUUUGUUCUUCUUCCAGCAUCAUUGGGCCUAAUGAUGUCAAAUGAGUUGUUCUUGACAUUAGACUUUGACCUCACAUCCAUCCUCUUCAAGAUUUUGUUGAAUUGUCUUCCAAGUAACGCUAAAUCAUUUGCCAUAUCUUCAUCAGUAUCUUGACUACUUUCUUCCUUUUUAUCUUUAGUGU